CCCGCUGAACUUAAGCAUAUCAAUAAGCGGAGGAAAAGAAACCAACAGGGAUUACCUCAGUGACGGCGAGUGAAGCGGUAACAGCUCAAAUUUGAAAGCCGCCAACGGGCCGCGUUUACACACAAAGAAGCUGCUUUGGGUGUCGGCCCGGUCUAUGUUCCUUGGAACAGGGACGUCAUAGAGGGUGAGAAUCCCGUAUGUGAUCGGUGCCGUUGCCCGUGUAAAGCGCUUUCGACGAGUCGAGUUGUUUGGGAAUGCAGCUCAAAAUGGGUGGUAAAUUUCAUCUAAAGCUAAAUAUUGGCCAGAGACCGAUAGCGCACAAGUAGAGUGAUCGAAAGAUGAAAAGCACUUUGGAAAGAGAGUUAAACAGUACGUGAAAUUGUUGAAAGGGAAGCGCUUGCAACCAGACUUGCGGGCGGUCGAUCAUCCGAGGUUCUCCCCGGUGCACUCGAUCGUUCUCAGGCCAGCAUCGGUUUCCGGGGUGGGAUAAAGGCGGUGGGAAUGUGGCUCUUCGGAGUGUUAUAGCCCACCGUGCAAUGCCGCCACUGGGGACCGAGGACCGCGCUUCGGCUAGGAUGCUGGCGUAAUGGUUGUAAGCGACCCGUCUUGAAACACGG
RNAcentral lists this ribosomal RNA (617 nucleotides) under uncultured fungus. Its description in RNAcentral is "eukaryotic LSU rRNA". It matches the Rfam family "Eukaryotic large subunit ribosomal RNA", at positions 24 to 664 of the family's 3401-position model. Lineage: Eukaryota; Fungi. The record is from RNAcentral.